This 301-nucleotide ribosomal RNA is filed under the name uncultured bacterium. Its description in RNAcentral is "partial 16S ribosomal RNA". It matches the Rfam family "Bacterial small subunit ribosomal RNA", at positions 509 to 807 of the family's 1533-position model. The record is from RNAcentral.
CAGCCGCCGCGGGAAUACGUAGGGCGCAAGCGUUAUCCGGAAUUAUUGGGCGUAAAGAGCUCGUAGGCGGUUUGUCGCGUCUGCCGUGAAAGUCCGGGGCUCAACCCCGGAUCUGCGGUGGGUACGGGCAGACUAGAGUGAUGUAAGGGAGACUGGAAUUCCUGGUGUAGCGGUGAAAUGCGCAGAUAUCAGGAGGAACACCGAUGGCGAAGGCAGGUCUCUGGGCAUUAACUGACGCUGAGGAGCGAAAGCAUGGGGAGCGAACAGGAUUAGAUACCCGUGUAGUCCCUGUCUCUUAUAC